AGAGUUUGAUCAUGGCUCAGAAUCAACGCUGGCGGCGUGCCUCAGACAUGCAAGUCGAACGCGAAAGGCCCCUUCGGGGGCCGAGUAGAGUGGCGUCCGGGUGAGUAACACGUGAGUAAUUUGCCUUCGGGUGGGGAAUAACAACCGGAAACGGUUGCUAAUACCGCAUAAUGCAGCGGCACCACAUGGUGACAGUUGUUAAAGCGGGGGAUUCGCAAGAACCUCGUGCCUGAAGAGAAGCUCGCGGCGGAUUAGCUAGUUGGUAGGGUAACGGCCUACCAAGGCGACGAUCCGUAGCCGGCCUGAGAGGGCGGUCGGCCACACUGACACUGACACACGGGUCAGACUCCUACGGGAGGCAGCAGUCGGGAAUUUUGGGCAAUGGGCGAAAGCCUGACCCAGCAACGCCGCGUGAAGGAUGAAGUUUUUCGGAAUGUAAACUUCACAAGAAUGGGAAGAAUAAGUGGGGGAUAAUACCCCCCAUGAUGACGGUACCAUUUGUAAGCUCCGGCUAACUCCGUGCCAGCAGCCGCGGUGAUACGGGGGGAGCAAGCGUUGUUCGGAUUUACUGGGCGUAAAGGGCGCGUAGGCGGCGCAGCAAGUCACUUGUGAAAUCUCCGGGCUUAACUCGGAGCGGCCAAGUGAUACUGUCGUGCUAGAGUGCGGAAGGGGCAACUGGAAUUCUCGGUGUAGCGGUGAAAUGCGUAGAUAUCGAGAGGAACACCUGCGGCGAAGGCGGGUUGCUGGGCCGACACUGACGCUGAGGCGCGAAAGCCAGGGGAGCGAACGGGAUUAGAUACCCCGGUAGUCCUGGCCUUAAACGAUGGAUGCUUGGUGUCCGGGGUUACAUAGUCCCCGGGUGCCGUCGCUAACGCCUUAAGCAUCCCGCCUGGGGAGUACGCACGCAAGUGUGAAACUCAAAGGAAUUGACGG
Molecule: ribosomal RNA, 933 nt
Filed under: uncultured bacterium
Lineage: Bacteria
Description: bacterial SSU rRNA
Rfam family: Bacterial small subunit ribosomal RNA
Source: RNAcentral